Molecule: non-coding RNA, 45 nt
Organism: Lutzomyia longipalpis
Lineage: Eukaryota; Metazoa; Arthropoda; Insecta; Diptera; Psychodidae
Source: Rfam
AAAAACGCCCUUUUCAGGGCGACUAAAACAAUGCAUAAAGAGUUU